This is a long non-coding RNA of Physella acuta, 350 nucleotides long. RefSeq lists it as uncharacterized. Lineage: Eukaryota; Metazoa; Mollusca; Gastropoda; Physidae. The record is from RefSeq and is a predicted model, not a curated record.
AAUUGAGCAUGUCUGUAAAUAAUUUUAAAAUAUUUUCCAUAUUACAGGAUAAUUAAUUUCAAAGAAUUACUAAACAAGAUUUACGAGCCAGGAGCUGAAAUAAUUUGUGAUGUCCUAAACAGAACAAGAGAACACUUCAAAGACGACUGUAUUUCUGUCUCUAGUCUAAUAAGGAUGUUGUUUUUAGAUAUUGUAAGACAUGGAAAUCUAAAGGAACAUGUUUCCUUUUAUGCAGAUGCUUUAACAGAUCUCUUUAAUAAAGCUCAGACAAUGCAUUCCACCACACAAAGUUUUAUUCUAAUGACGGGUUUAAGCAUCGUUGAAUUGUACAUGAAAUCAAAUUUGGCGUU